AGCAGCCGCGGUAAUUCCAGCUCCAAUAGCGUAUAUUAAAGUUGUUGCAGUUAAAAAGCUCGUAGUUGAAUUUCGGGAUUAGUACGUUGGUCGUGCCUUCGGUACGUACUGGUGUUACUGAUUCCUACCUUCUGACGAACCAUCAUGUCAUUAAUUUGGUGUGGCGGGGAAUCAGGACUGUUACUUUGAAAAAAUUAGAGUGUUUAAAGCAGGCUCGCGCUUGAAUACAUUAGCAUGGAAUAAUGAAAUAGGACGUUGACCCUAUUUUGUUGGUUUCUAGGAUUGACGUAAUGAUUAAUAGGGAUAGUUGGGGGCAUUAGUAUUCAAUUGUCAGAGGUGAAAUUCUUGGAUUUAUUGAAGACUAGCUACUGCGAAAGCAUUUGCCAAGGAUGUUUUCAUUAAUCAAGAACGAAAGUUAGGGGAUCGAAGACGAUCAGAUACCGUCGUAGUCUUAACCAUAAACUAUGCCGACUAGGGAUCGGAUGAUGUUAUUUUUAAUGACUCAUUCGGCGCCUUACG
Molecule: ribosomal RNA, 519 nt
Filed under: uncultured Glomus
Lineage: Eukaryota; Fungi; Glomeromycota; Glomeromycetes; Glomerales; Glomeraceae
Description: SSU rRNA
Rfam family: Eukaryotic small subunit ribosomal RNA
Source: RNAcentral